ACAUGACCUCAGAUCAGGUGGGGCAACCCGCUGAGUUUAAGCAUAUCAAUAAGCGGAGGAGAAGAAACUUACGAAGAUUCCCUUAGUAACGGCGAGCGAAUCGGGAAAAGCCCAGCUUGAGAAUUAGGUGGUUGUGCCACCUAAAUUGUAGUCUGGAGAAGCGUCAUCAGCGACGGAUCAGGCCUAGGUCCCUUGGAAAGGGGUGCCAGGGAGGGUGACAGCCCCGUCCGGCUUGAACCUUGCUGCAACAUGAGGCGUUGUCGAUGAGUCGGGUUGUUUGGGAAUGCAGCCCCAAUUGGGUGGUAAAUUUCGUCCAAGGCUAAAUAGCGACGAGAGACCGAUAGCUAACAAGUACCGCGAGGGAAAGAUGAAAAGGACUUUGAAAAGAGAGUCAAAGAGUGCUUGAAAUUGUCAGGAGGGAAACGAAUGGGGGUCGGCGAUGCGUGCUGGUUUGAUGUUGAACUACUCACAUACAGGGUAGGUUAGCCACUUGGCUCGGCACGUGGAUCGUUGCGGGCUGUGCUUGCGGU
RNAcentral lists this ribosomal RNA (530 nucleotides) under Allium cepa (onion). RNAcentral describes it as "eukaryotic LSU rRNA". It matches the Rfam family "Eukaryotic large subunit ribosomal RNA", at positions 1 to 519 of the family's 3401-position model. Lineage: Eukaryota; Viridiplantae; Streptophyta; Magnoliopsida; Asparagales; Amaryllidaceae. The record is from RNAcentral.